Regulatory RNA element from Shigella dysenteriae Sd197, 127 nucleotides. It matches the Rfam family "Phenylalanine leader peptide". Lineage: Bacteria; Pseudomonadati; Pseudomonadota; Gammaproteobacteria; Enterobacterales; Enterobacteriaceae. The record is from Rfam.
CAUGAAACACACACCGUUUUUCUUCGCAUUCUUUUUUACCAUUCCCCUGAAUGGGAGGCGUUUCGUCGUGUGAAACAGAAUGCGAAGACGAACAAUAAGGCCUCCCAAAUCGGGGGGCCUUUUUUAU